CCUCAAAAUGUCUUGGACCUCCUGCUGUAGGAGGAGCGAGCUUCCUAACAGAUGCACUGGGUGGAGUGCCAUUCAGCUUUCAACCACCAGACCACAACUAGCAGCUGAUAAAGGCAGAAAUGGGUCAAGAUGAUGCUACCUGGUGCUUCAGCAGAACUUUUUACACCAGGGUUUCCUGAGGAGAAAUGGAUUAGGCAAUUACACAGCUGAGGCUGGGCUCUAUCUCCUAAGCCUGUUAGCUUUGCCUGUGCACAGGUUUCUGCAGAUAAGUGACCAUUCUUCUUUCUCUCACCUAGUGCUCUUUCAGACAGCUGUGGAGGUAAAAAAAAAAGCAAAUUGCUUGGCAGUGGGCAGAAACGAGUAAGUGCGUCUAUGCCGUCUAGAUUUGUCUGCAUGCCAACAGGAAGUGAAGUCUUAAUGGCGUCUCUCUGUUUAUCUUGUCCCCUGGCCUAUUGAGACCAAUUACCAUGACCAGCCGAGCCUGACAAGGAGAUUUCAUGCAUCAGGGGGCCAGGAAGUCAAAGGUUUCCUGUAUUUUGGGGUAAAGAAAUGAUUCGCCGCCACAAGAAACAGAAGAAAACAGGAGUAGGGAUGGAAUUGGAGACAAAGCAAGACAGUGGUCUUGUCUCUGCUUUUAUCCUUACUUAUUUCAGACAUGAGGUGCGCUUGGAAGAGCAGAGCAGGAAUGCCUACAUCUGGCUGAGAGGAAGCCCUGAGAGUUUAGAAGUAAGGUGAUUAUGUCUGUCUGACGACGACUAAAGCUUUGGCCUGUUCCCUGAUGGAGCACUGCAGGGGAAUCCAGCUUUGAUAAUCACACUGCAAACAGGAAUCAGACGGAAAGCUGUUCUGUCCCUCAAAGCCUGUUAGGCCAGACCACCAUGUGUGAGGACAAGACAAGCACAUCCAGGGAUCUGAGUGUGUGCCAGGUAUGCUUGUCUUGCUCUUUCUGUGGAGUGACGCUGACGACUCUCUCUUCUGACACUCCUCUGGGGUGGCCCGCUUCCUCUCAUCCAUCCAUGAAUUUGUCUGCCGUGUUGACAAAGCUUUGCAGGUCUCUUUCCAUCAACACCGCCACUUGACAGCACCACAUUUUACACCACAUGGAAGACUGUUGCAGAGUCGGGUAAUAGGUUUGCUGACACAAACUAUGUGGGUCAAUAAAACUCAAAGAUGUUUCGAGCUCUAGGAAAUGUCUUUCCUGUAACGGUCUGCACCAUGAUGUAGCCCUUUGAGGAGUCGGGAAUUGGGCCUUUAAUAUUGACCUUUGGCUAUACUCAGACACCAAACUCUUGUUUUGAAGCCAUUAUUAGUCUACGACACACUCAAGAAAUUUUCAGACGCUCACUUUGAAAUACUCACAGCAGUCACUAUCUCACAUAAAGACAUUUCAUAAGAUCCCGUUUGGAUGUUUUCAAAAAUGUCUCACUGGGACAUAUUUUUUUUAAAUUGACCAUUUUUUUACAGAUCUUGUAAAGUUUUCUGUGCAGUGCUGUAAGUGUAUUUAUUUAUUUACUGAUGAUACGUGUGCUCUAAAAUGUUUGUUCAAACCUCAUUGUAAC
Molecule: long non-coding RNA, 1559 nt
Filed under: Carassius auratus (goldfish)
Lineage: Eukaryota; Metazoa; Chordata; Actinopteri; Cypriniformes; Cyprinidae
Description: lncRNA (ENSCARG00000058802.1)
Source: RNAcentral